This 492-nucleotide ribosomal RNA is filed under the name uncultured bacterium. RNAcentral's name for it is "partial 16S ribosomal RNA". It matches the Rfam family "Bacterial small subunit ribosomal RNA", at positions 29 to 507 of the family's 1533-position model. The record is from RNAcentral.
AGUGAACGCUGGCGGUAGGCCUAACACAUGCAAGUCGAACGGCAGCACAGUAAGAGCUUGCUCUUACGGGUGGCGAGUGGCGGACGGGUGAGGAAUACAUCGGAAUCUACUUUUUCGUGGGGGAUAACGUAGGGAAACUUACGCUAAUACCGCAUACGACCUACGGGUGAAAGCAGGGGAUCUUCGGACCUUGCGCGAUUGAAUGAGCCGAUGUCGGAUUAGCUAGUUGGCGGGGUAAAGGCCCACCAAGGCGACGAUCCGUAGCUGGUCUGAGAGGAUGAUCGGCCACACUGGAACUGAGACACGGUCCAGACUCCUACGGGAGGCAGCAGUGGGGAAUAUUGGACAAUGGGCGCAAGCCUGACCCAGCCAUACCGCGUGGGUGAAGAAGGCCUUCGGGUUGUAAAGCCCUUUUGUUGGGAAAGAAAAGCAGCAGGUUAAUACCCCGCUGUUCUGACGGUACCCAAAGAAUAAGCACCGGCUAACUUCGUG